GUCAGAGCCAGAGUGAGACCCAUUGUUCUGCAUGAGAGGGGGUGGGGAGAGUGGCAGUGACGCCAGAAAUCUCUGAGUGUGACUCACUGAGAGAAGCCAGCUGGAUGGCAGGGUUGCCAGAGCCUUUGUUCCAAGCUGCAUUUGAGUAGUGAGCUUGAGGUUUUUCCACAGAAGGCAUCUUGGAGAGAGGUAUCACCUCAGAGCUGGAGAAAUGUCAAGCUAGUUGAAUAACAGGCACCAAAGGUUUUGAGGGGUGCAGAGCGAAGAGCCUUGGGCUGAGAGUUUGAGUCCUGACUGUUUCAGUGAGACCAGCAAGCGCUUUCUCUCUCCAGCUUCUCCAUUUCCACCUUUGCAAACUCUGGACUCCAAGGACGCAAGAUGGCCGGAAACAAGAUGGUGGAGCAUGAAGGCCCUUGCCAGAUGACAGCACUAUGCCCUUGGACUCCCCAGCCUCCAUAACCAUGGGCCAAAUAAACUUCUAUUGUUUUAAAUUGCCCAGUCUGUGGUAUUCUAUCAUAACAGCACAAAAUAGACUAAAACAAUGCUCUACACUGGCUGCCAGAGUUCCCUGAUGGGAUUGUGCUCCAGUUGUCCACAGUAGUAACUUGCUGGAUAAUACUUCCUGUUUCCGCAGGCUUCUCUUCUCUGUCUCAUUCCCUCAAUCCCCUAAUGGUGCUUUCUGGGAUCAUCUCCCAAAUAAUCCACUUGCACCUCAAAUCCUCAUCUCAGAGUCUGCUUCUGAGGGAGCCCAAACAAAGGCAUGAAACCUUUCCCAUUCCCCAGUCUCAGUCUAUAUGGUUAAAGUGGGCCUGAACCCCAUUCUAGGAUGGGUCAGACUCAGGUCUGACCAAUGACACCACCAUACCUCUUUUAGGUACAGGGAUGGUUCAGGGAUGACCAUUUGAACUCAAAC
RNAcentral lists this long non-coding RNA (913 nucleotides) under Homo sapiens (human). RNAcentral's name for it is "HSALNT0268450". The record is from RNAcentral. Lineage: Eukaryota; Metazoa; Chordata; Mammalia; Primates; Hominidae.